Molecule: ribosomal RNA, 407 nt
Filed under: uncultured rumen bacterium
Lineage: Bacteria
Description: bacterial SSU rRNA
Rfam family: Bacterial small subunit ribosomal RNA
Source: RNAcentral
CAGCAGCCGCGGUAAUACGUAGGGUGCGAGCGUUAAUCGGAAUUACUGGGCGUAAAGCGUGCGCAGGCGGUUGUGCAAGACAGAUGCGAAAUCCCCGGGCUUAACCUGGGAACUGCAUUUGUGACUGCACGGCUAGAGUGCGGCAGAGGGGAGUGGAAUUCCGCGUGUAGCAGUGAAAUGCGUAGAUGUGCGGAGGAACACCGAUGGCGAAGGCAGCUCCCUGGGCCUGCACUGACGCUCAUGCACGAAAGCGUGGGGAGCAAACAGGAUUAGAUACCCUGGUAGUCCACGCCCUAAACGAUGUCAACUGGUUGUUGGUCCUUCACUGGAUCAGAAACGUAGCGAACGCGUGAAGUUGACCGCCUGGGGAGUACGGCCGCAAGGUUGAAACUCAAAUAAAUUGACGG